Molecule: ribosomal RNA, 548 nt
Filed under: uncultured Glomeromycotina
Lineage: Eukaryota; Fungi; Glomeromycota
Description: SSU rRNA
Rfam family: Eukaryotic small subunit ribosomal RNA
Source: RNAcentral
UUGGAGGGCAAGUCUGGUGCCAGCAGCCGCGGUAAUUCCAGCUCCAAUAGCGUAUAUUAAAGUUGUUGCAGUUAAAAAGCUCGUAGUUGAAUUUCGGGAUCAAUUUAUUGGUCGUGCCAACGGUACGCACUGGUACAAUUGGUUUCUCCCUUCUGACGAAGCAUGAUGUCAUUAAUUUGAUGUCGUGGGGAAUCAGGACUGUUACUUUGAAAAAAUUAGAGUGUUUAAAGCAGGCUUUGGCUUGAAUACAUUAGCAUGGAAUAAUGAAAUAGGACGUUUGAUCUUAUUUCGUUGGUUUCUAAGAUCGACGUAAUGAUUAAUAGGGAUAGUUGGGGGCAUUAGUAUUCAAUUGUCAGAGGUGAGAUUCUUGGAUUUAUUGAAGACUAACUUCUGCGAAAGCAUUUGCCAAGGAUGUUUUCAUUAAUCAAGAACGAAAGUUAGGGGAUCGAAGACGAUCAGAUACCGUCGUAGUCUUAACCAUAAACUAUGCCGACUAGGGAUCGGACGAUGUUAAUUUUUCUUGACUCGUUCGGCGCCUUACGGGAAAC